UACGAAGGGUGCAAACGUUGCUCGGAAUUAUUGGGCGUAAAGAGCUCGUAGGCGGUGUGUCACGUCGGCCGUGAAAACCUGCAGCUUAACUGUGGGCGUGCGGUCGAUACGGGCAUCACUGGAGUUCGGCAGGGGAGACUGGAAUUCCUGGUGUAGCGGUGAAAUGCGCAGAUAUCAGGAGGAACACCGGUGGCGAAGGCGGGUCUCUGGGCCGAUACUGACGCUGAGGAGCGAAAGCGUGGGGAGCAAACAGG
This 254-nucleotide ribosomal RNA is filed under the name uncultured bacterium. Its description in RNAcentral is "partial 16S ribosomal RNA". It matches the Rfam family "Bacterial small subunit ribosomal RNA", at positions 524 to 776 of the family's 1533-position model. The record is from RNAcentral.